UUCAAAUCUUACAAAGAAA
Molecule: small nuclear RNA, 19 nt
Filed under: Arabidopsis thaliana (thale cress)
Lineage: Eukaryota; Viridiplantae; Streptophyta; Magnoliopsida; Brassicales; Brassicaceae
Description: snRNA_14990
Source: RNAcentral